UGGGGAAUAUUGCACAAUGGGCGCAAGCCUGAUGCAGCCAUGCCGCGUGUGUGAAGAAGGCCUUCGGGUUGUAAAGCACUUUCAGCGGGGAGGAAGGCGUUAAGGUUAAUAACCUUGGCGAUUGACGUUACCCGCAGAAGAAGCACCGGCUAACUCCGUGCCAGCAGCCGCGGUAAUACGGAGGGUGCAAGCGUUAAUCGGAAUUACUGGGCGUAAAGCGCACGCAGGCGGUCUGUCAAGUCGGAUGUGAAAUCCCCGGGCUCAACCUGGGAACUGCAUUCGAAACUGGCAGGCUAGAGCCUUGUAGAGGGGGGUAGAAUUCCAGGUGUAGCGGUGAAAUGCGUAGAGAUCUGGAGGAAUACCGGUGGCGAAGGCGGCCCCCUGGACAAAGACUGACGCUCAGGUGCGAAAGCGUGGGGAGCAAACAGG
This 429-nucleotide ribosomal RNA is filed under the name Chloroflexota bacterium. RNAcentral's name for it is "Chloroflexi bacterium partial 16S ribosomal RNA". It matches the Rfam family "Bacterial small subunit ribosomal RNA", at positions 355 to 776 of the family's 1533-position model. The record is from RNAcentral. Lineage: Bacteria; Bacillati; Chloroflexota.